ACUCAGCUGAAGAUAGCUCAGUUGGUAGAACAUGAGAUUCUUAUUAAUCUCAGGGUCGUGGAUUUGAGCUCCACGCUGGGCG
This is a non-coding RNA of Podarcis lilfordi (Lilford's wall lizard), 82 nucleotides long. NCBI's taxonomy places the organism in Eukaryota, Metazoa, Chordata, Lepidosauria, Squamata, Lacertidae. The record is from the annotation of a GenBank genome assembly.